This is a small nuclear RNA of Suncus etruscus (white-toothed pygmy shrew), 102 nucleotides long. Lineage: Eukaryota; Metazoa; Chordata; Mammalia; Eulipotyphla; Soricidae. The record is from RefSeq and is a predicted model, not a curated record.
GUACUCGCUUCGGCAGCACAUAUACUAAAAUUGAAAUGAUACAAAGAAGAUUAGCAUGGCCCCAAAGUGGUCUGAAAGUAUAGUUUAAGGUGGUCUGUUUUU